GGCCUGGUGGUCUAGUAGUAUGAUUCCUUCUUAGGGCUCUCUUGCCAUUUGGAGGAGGUCCCGGGUUCAAUUCCCGGCCAGGCCC
This 85-nucleotide transfer RNA is filed under the name Russula ochroleuca. RNAcentral describes it as "tRNA-Pro". It matches the Rfam family "tRNA". From Rfam's summary of the family: Transfer RNA (tRNA) molecules are approximately 80 nucleotides in length. Their secondary structure includes four short double-helical elements and three loops (D, anti-codon, and T loops). Lineage: Eukaryota; Fungi; Basidiomycota; Agaricomycetes; Russulales; Russulaceae. The record is from RNAcentral.